GACGAACGCUGGCGGCACGCUUAACACAUGCAAGUCGAACGGAGUUGAGGAGGUGCUUGCACCAUCUCAACUUAGUGGCGGACGGGUGAGUAACACGUGAGCAACCUGCCUUUGAGAGUGGAAUAGCUUCUGGAAACGGAUGGUAAUACCGCAUGAAAUUAUCUGACCGCAUGAUCGGAUAAUCAAAGAUUUAUCGCUCAAAGAUGGGCUCGCGUCUGAUUAGAUAGUUGGUGGGGUAACGGCCUACCAAGUCGACGAUCAGUAGCCGGACUGAGAGGUUGAACGGCCACAUUGGGACUGAGACACGGCCCAGACUCCUACGGGAGGCAGCAGUGGGGAAUAUUGCACAAUGGGCGGAAGCCUGAUGCAGCGAUGCCGCGUGGAGGAAGAAGGUUUUCGGAUUGUAAACUCCUGAUCUGAGGGACGAUAAUGACGGAC
Molecule: ribosomal RNA, 438 nt
Filed under: bacterium FE3010
Lineage: Bacteria
Description: bacterial SSU rRNA
Rfam family: Bacterial small subunit ribosomal RNA
Source: RNAcentral